Molecule: long non-coding RNA, 3411 nt
Filed under: Danio rerio (zebrafish)
Lineage: Eukaryota; Metazoa; Chordata; Actinopteri; Cypriniformes; Danionidae
Description: lncRNA (ENSDARG00000117369.1)
Source: RNAcentral
AUGGAGUCGAACCCGAGUUGCGCUUCUCCCCAAGGGGAGGAGCUGGAGGACGGAGAAAUCUUCGACGAUGAGCCGCAGCAGCAGAACGCGAGACCCCCGCGGCGGCCCCGGCCCUGCCGCCCCUACCGGAGAGCGCGUCUGCCGGGGCCGGUGAUAGGCAGCGCCGCGGGGCCGCCGAGGCCUCCGCACCCGCACCCGGCCUUCCCCUGCGAGCUCCGGCAGGCCUUCGAGUCCGCGCCGCGCUCCGGCUUCUGGGAGCGCAGUCACGCAGCGCUCACGGGCCGCUUCAGGUACCGCGCUCAGCGGCCGCAGGACUGGCCGCCCCGGGACUGGCAGCAGCGCUUCCCGGAGAACCACCGGACAGACUCCCCCGGCAGGAAACCGCAGAAGAGUGUGCGCGCGGCAGCCCGCAGGAACCCUCCGCUCGGCAAAAGCGAGCCGGUGGACGAGAGCUUCGAGGACCUGCUGCUGAAGUACAAGCAGAUCCAGCUGGAGCUGGAGUGCAUCCGCAAGGAGGAGCGCGCCGCCCUGGAGGACGAGGAGCCGCCGGUGCACAGGUCAGACGGAGGAGCGGCGCCGCAGGAGUCCGUGGAGGAGCAGCAGCAGCAGAAGAAGAGCUUUCAGGCCUUCAACAUCCGCCCGCUGCGGCAGAAGCUGCUGACACCUGCAGAGAGAGACGCACUCAACUGCAGAGCCACGCAGGAGAACACACACACGCAGGAGAACACGCGCACGCAGGAGAACACACACACGCAGGAGAACACGCGCACGCAGGAGAACACGCAAGAGGACACGCAGCAGAUGACACUGGACAGCACUGCAGAUGACGCUGUGAAGGACGAGGACUCUGAAUCAGACCUCAACAUCUCCACUGUGAGCGACGAGACUCCAGUCGUCAUCCGCAAGAAGGAGGAUGAGGACGAAGUGUCGGAGCUGCAGCUGCGUCUCCUCGCUCUACAGUCCGCCAGCAGGAAGUGGCAGCAGAAGGAGAAGCAGGUGCUGAAGGAGAGCAAGGAGAAGAUGGAGAGCAAGGAGAAGAAGACGGAGAAGACCAGCUCAGCGUCUGCAGAGAAGACCAGCCCGAGAGCAGCAGAGAGAUCCAGAGCGGCCAGAACACCUGCAGACAAGAGCAGACCAUCCAACAGAGCCAAGAAACCCGCACACCUGACCAAGCAGGCUCUGAGGAAGCAGCAGUUGCGCACCUGGAAGCUGCAGCAGGAGGCGCGGCGGCAGCAGCAGGAGCAGGAGGAGGAGCGGCGGCGGCGGGAGGACGAGAUCCGCAGGAUCCGGGAUCUGUCCAAUCAGGACGAGCAGUACAACCGCUUCAUGAGGCUGGUGGGCUCCAGACGGCCCUCCCGCAGCAAGUCUGCAGACUCAGGCAAGCUGAAGCAGAGUCUGGACACGUCCGGCUGUCUCUACCAGUACGACAACUAUGAUGAGGUCGCCAUGGAUACUGACAGUGAAACCAACUCACCAGGUACACACACACACACACACACACCUGUUCUGCAGACACUUGUGCUAACUGGAGUGUAUUUGAUGAUGCUAAUGCUCGUCUGCAGCUGCGUCCCCUACCCAUGAUGCACUGCCCAGGUUCCCGCUGGAGUCCACGCCUCACCGACAGGUAAACACUCGCCGCUGUGUGUGUGUGUGUGUGUGUGUUAUAUUGCCAGAUUGGUCAGCACUGUGGCCUCACAGCAGGAAGGUCUCUGGUUUGAGUCUCGGCUGGGUUAGUUGGUGUUUCUGUGUGGAGUUUGCAUGUUCUCCCCGUGUUGGUGUGGGUUUCCUCCGGGUGCUCUGGUUUCCCCCACAGUCCAAACACAUGCGCUAUAGGGGAACUGAUCNNNNNNNNNNNNNNNNNNNNNNNNNNNNNNNNNNNNNNNNNNNNNNNNNNNNNNNNNNNNNNNNNNNNNNNNNNNNNNNNNNNNNNNNNNNNNNNNNNNNGUGACUUUUUCAAAAGUAGUAAUAUUUGCAGUCAUAAACAUGUUCAGACAAUUAAUAUGACGCUGAUUUGAUGCUUCAUAAUAGUUGCAGACGCCUUUACCAAUAUCAAAAUGCUUUAGUUAACAACCAGUUAUUCUGUACACCCUUUAAGAAACCGGCUACUAUAACACUACUAAAACGCUACUAUAACACUGCUAUAACACUGCUAUAACACUAGUAUAAUAGGAGAGUCUGCUGUAACUGUAAAACUGCUCUCGACACAUGAAAGGGCAAAUCAUGCAGCACACAAGGUGUGCAGUUAUUGCGUCUCAUAUUCAACAAACAGUUACUCUGAAUUUUCUGUAAUUUUGCUCACAUGAAUAAUUGAAUAUUAAUCAGAUGAUGUCAUCGCGCUGCUGUGCCGUCAGCCAAUCACUGCACUGCUGAUCAUGAUUGAGGAUGGGUAGAUCUGUCCUUCACAGCACACACAGAUCUCAGAUCAGUUCAUCCAGACACUUUAAUCUGAGUCACCAACUUGUUUGAAGAACCGAAUUAGCCAGAGAUCAGUUAUCGAGAUGAACAGAUCCAGGAUCUGCCAAAUCAUCUUAGAUCAAUUAAGCGAGGAAUGCAGAACUGACCCCAGAUCUGAUCUAACACCAGCCAAUGGAAAUCAUCAGUAAACAGAGUGCCACAUUUCUAGAGGACACUGGUCAUGUCUGGCAGAAAUACAGUAAUACUGUGCUGCAGUGCUCACUGUAUCACACACACACACACACACACACACACACACACACACUAUGCGAGUGUCACGAUCAUGAUCAGCAGUGCAGUGAUUGGCUGACGGCACAGCAGCAUGAUGACAUCAUCUGAUCAAUAUUCAAUUAUCCAUGCCAGCAAAAAUACAUAAAUGAGCAGUGAACGCUUUAAAUAUGACCCGCAGUAACUCUCCACAUGUGUGGUGAGCUGCACUUACGAGAGUGUUCAUCAUAUGUUUCAGUGCACAUCAGUGUGUUCAGUUCCACAUCCAGAGCAGAUUUGCUUUAUUACAGUAGACCAGGCCGACACUAUUUUAAUCGCAGUAAGGAAUAACUAUAAACUAAUCUUGCAUCAAAAAAGCGGUUUGCCAUUGGUAAAGGCGUCAGUCGCCGGCAUAUUAGUGAUCAAAACACGCAUGACUGCAUACAAUAUACUGCGGUUUAGUUUUUUGUUUUUAAGUGGAAUAUUGUGUGUGUGUGUGUGUGUGUGUGUACGCAUUUGCAUCUAAAAAGUUCAUAUAAUAACUAUUCUCUGUGAACCAGCAGGUGGCAGACUUUUACUUUAUGCCUCUUUCCACUGACUGCUACAGUACGGUGCGGUUCGGGUCGGUACGGGUCACCUUUAUCAGGCUUGUGUUUCCCACUAGCAAGGGCACCGUUUUGGUGGGCCGUGGUGUAAGACUAAGUUUUAGUCGACGUCAUGCUCACUCGAGAAAAUUGUCUACAGUAAAGC